Zonotrichia leucophrys gambelii is the source of this 316-nucleotide long non-coding RNA. RefSeq lists it as uncharacterized. Lineage: Eukaryota; Metazoa; Chordata; Aves; Passeriformes; Passerellidae. The transcript has 2 exons. The record is from RefSeq and is a predicted model, not a curated record.
GAUCCACUAUCACUGAAACCACCCUUCAAUCCCUCCCAGGGCUCUCCUCUGCUGUCCUCAGUCUCCACCCCACUGAGCACAGAGCUCCUCUGUCCCUGUACAGUGCUCAUGUGCUUGAGGCCAUGGGUGCCUGGACAGGAAGGAUGGUUCUUUUCUUCAGGAAGGAAACCACAGAGCCCCAGGGUUUUGAAGGCAGAUCAGAGGCAGUCACCAGAGGCCAAGGCCUGCUCUGAGCUGUGGCUGGCAGCUGCAAGUGUGGCCCCGGCACCCAGACCCUCUGCAAUAAACCGCAAGUUCCACGACCUGGCUCCAGAAA